GGGCACUUUCUGGAAGGAUAUCAAUGUCUGGACCCAAAGUGUGCGGUUUUGAACAUCACUCACUCAGCCUCGCCCGCUGCCAGCACUCCAGUUGGUUCCGCUGCCAUCCCUGAUCCUUUGAUCCAAGAGAAGUGCUGAGAGCCUCUUUCUCCCCUCAGAGGCAGUGGGUUUCAAACCUUGAGGCAGCGUUUUCAUGUCCUCACCCACAUUGCCGGUCCAGUCUUGCCUAGUGGGAACG
This 238-nucleotide long non-coding RNA is filed under the name Homo sapiens (human). RNAcentral describes it as "long non-coding RNA NONHSAT148457". Lineage: Eukaryota; Metazoa; Chordata; Mammalia; Primates; Hominidae. The record is from RNAcentral.